ACAUUUCCUUCCUGGAGCCGUACAGCAACUCUGUGCCGGAUUAGCAGUCCUCCUCACAGCCCUAAUUGAAUCCUCAGGAGCCAGGAAAACAGAUAAGUGUGUUUCUUAAUAUCAUUUGUAAACCAGAUGCAGCUCCAGCCUCUUGCCCCCUGGAGAGGCAGGUAUAUACACUUCUCAGCUACUCGCUAACUUUGACCUCCAGCACCACCUCGAGUCUUCACUGUCUGUUUUAGUGUUUUCUUCCUCCGGGUACUGGGGAUGAGCCCAGGGGUUUCUACCACUGGGCUACAUGCUAUCCCCUUUUAUUUUUUAUUUCAAGACAAGAGUCUCACUAAGUUGUCCAGGCUGUCCUCAAACUUGAGAGUUCCUGCUCAGUCUCCCCAGCAGCUGUGAUUACAGGUGUUUAGAGCUCAACCAUCACUGUCUUAUACCCAAACCUCCAGAGCUCAGGACUUGUCAUUAACUGCUAAAGGAAUCUAUACCAAGCAUAUUGUGGACUCUGUUAAAAAUCAAGAAGUCAACUAAUAGGGCUUCUCCCCUCCUGAUGGUUUUCCUCCUCCCUCCCCUUGCUUCCUAUUCCUUCUGCCAGACCAUCUCCUGACUCCAAACUCUUCUUCCUACCAUGCAGGGAAAUCCAGCUCUCCCAGCUCCUGCAUAAGGAUGAGACAUACCAG
RNAcentral lists this long non-coding RNA (674 nucleotides) under Marmota monax (woodchuck). Lineage: Eukaryota; Metazoa; Chordata; Mammalia; Rodentia; Sciuridae. The record is from RNAcentral.